AACGAACGCUGGCGGCAUGCCUAACACAUGCAAGUCGAACGAGACCUUCGGGCCUAGUGGCGCACGGGUGCGUAACGCGUGGGAACCUGCCCUUAGGUUCGGAAUAACUCCCCGAGAGGGGUGCUAAUACCGGAUAAUGUCUUCGGACCAAAGAUCUAUCGCCUUUGGAUGGGCCCGCGUUGGAUUAGCUAGUUGGUAGGGUAAAAGCCUACCAAGGCGACGAUCCAUAGCUGGUCUGAGAGGAUGAUCAGCCACACUGGGACUGAGACACGGCCCAGACUCCUACGGGAGGCAGCAGAGGGGAAUAUUGGACAAUGGAGGAAGGCCUGAUCCAGCAAUGCCGGGUGAGUGAUGAAGGCCGUAGGGUUGUAAAGCUCUUUUACCCGGGAUGAUAAUGACAGUACCGGGAGAAGAAGCGCCGGCUAACUCCGUG
Molecule: ribosomal RNA, 433 nt
Filed under: uncultured bacterium
Lineage: Bacteria
Description: partial 16S ribosomal RNA
Rfam family: Bacterial small subunit ribosomal RNA
Source: RNAcentral